This 253-nucleotide ribosomal RNA is filed under the name uncultured bacterium. RNAcentral's name for it is "partial 16S ribosomal RNA". It matches the Rfam family "Bacterial small subunit ribosomal RNA", at positions 524 to 776 of the family's 1533-position model. The record is from RNAcentral.
UACGUAGGUGGCAAGCGUUGUCCGGAUUUACUGGGCGUAAAGAGCGCGCAGGCGGCCAAGUCAGUCGAAUGUGAAAGCCCCCGGCUUAACUGGGGAGGGUCAUUCGAUACUGCUUGGCUCGAAGACAGGAGAGGGAAGCGGAAUUCCCGGUGUAGUGGUGAAAUGCGUAGAGAUCGGGAGGAACACCUGUGGCGAAGGCGGCCGUCUGGGCCGACCCUGACGCUGAGGCGCGAAGGCGUGGGGAGCGAACGGG